UACGUAGGGGGCAAGCGUUGUCCGGAAUCAUUGGGCGUAAAGCGCGUGUAGGCGGCCAGAAAAGUCCGCUGUGAAAACUCGAGGCUCAACUUCGAGCUGUCGGUGGAAACUUUCUGGCUAGAGUCCGGAAGAGGAGAGUGGAAUUCCUGGUGUAGCGGUGAAAUGCGCAGAUAUCAGGAAGAACACCGAUGGCGAAGGCAGCUCUCUGGGACGGUACCGACGCUGAGACGCGAAAGCGUGGGGAGCGAACAGG
RNAcentral lists this ribosomal RNA (253 nucleotides) under uncultured bacterium. Its description in RNAcentral is "partial 16S ribosomal RNA". It matches the Rfam family "Bacterial small subunit ribosomal RNA", at positions 524 to 776 of the family's 1533-position model. The record is from RNAcentral.